RNAcentral lists this long non-coding RNA (301 nucleotides) under Setaria italica (foxtail millet). RNAcentral describes it as "long non-coding RNA (SITA_LNC000380)". Lineage: Eukaryota; Viridiplantae; Streptophyta; Magnoliopsida; Poales; Poaceae. The record is from RNAcentral.
GCAAAGGAACGCUCGGGCCCUUCAGGAGCGAAACGAACAAUUGGAGCAGGAGUGUGCCUGGCUUACAGAAUCCUUGAGGGUUCAUGAAGCUGGAGCGAUAUCCUUUGCUGUGGAACGGUCAGAUCAUGAAGUCUUGCAACAGAAGCUGCAGAGCCGCUACAAGUCUUUGAAUAAAAAGUAACAAGGUGAGUAAUGUCCAUGCUCUGAGUAAGUCCGACUGUAGUCGGUUGUUUGAACUUGGUCAUUUUUGCAGAGCUCAAGAGGAAGGAGGCUCCUGCGAGUAGCCAACUCCUUGACUGGA